Molecule: transfer-messenger RNA, 397 nt
Filed under: Bacteroidales
Lineage: Bacteria; Pseudomonadati; Bacteroidota; Bacteroidia
Also listed under: 1 other name
Description: JAADJA01 sp016933115 Standard tmRNA
Rfam family: transfer-messenger RNA
About the family: Bacterial tmRNA, also known as 10Sa RNA or SsrA, is named for its dual tRNA and mRNA-like properties. Its role is to liberate the mRNA from a stalled ribosome.
Source: RNAcentral
GGGGCUGACAGGAUUUGACAGCAAGGACAGUGGGACUGUAAGCAUGCCGGGCAUUGAAGAUGUGGCUCGUUAAAAACUAUCUUUAAACAAUAAUUGGCGAAACUAAUUACGCUCUCGCAGCCUAAUCGAAGCAUAGUAGAUAGGGCAUUCUCACACCUCAAGGAGGCGUGACGAGACAUUCCGCAGGAGGACCUGCCCGAUUCCGACUGAUCACGGGGUGCUCAUAAUUUCGGGCUGGUUCUACAGAGGCUCCGGCUACAGAACGAGAUAAAGGAGCUAAGGCAAAAUUGGGGUGCUUUUUCCCGGGUUUUGUUCGAAAAUCAAUAAAAGGCUAAGCAUGUAGAAAGCACUCUUGCUGCUUGUUUGGACGAGGGUUCGAAUCCCUCCAGCUCCACAA